Molecule: ribosomal RNA, 497 nt
Filed under: uncultured bacterium
Lineage: Bacteria
Description: partial 16S ribosomal RNA
Rfam family: Bacterial small subunit ribosomal RNA
Source: RNAcentral
GAUGAACGCUGGCGGCGUGCCUAAUACAUGCAAGUCGAGCGAACAGACGAGGAGCUUGCUCCUCUGACGUUAGCGGCGGACGGGUGAGUAACACGUGGAUAACCUACCUAUAAGACUGGGAUAACUUCGGGAAACCGGAGCUAAUACCGGAUAAUAUAUUGAACCGCAUGGUUCAAUAGUGAAAGACGGCUUUGCUGUCACUUAUAGAUGGAUCCGCGCCGCAUUAGCUAGUUGGGAAGGUAACGGCUUACCAAGGCAACGAUGCGUAGCCGACCUGAGAGGGUGGUCGGCCACACUGGAACUGAGACACGGUCCAGGCUCCUACGGGAGGCAGCAGUAGGGAAUCUUCCGCAGUGGGCGAAAGCCUGACGGAGCAACGCCGCGUGAGUGAUGAAGGUCUUCGGAUCGUAAAACUCUGUUAUUAGGGAAGAACAAAUGUGUAAGUAACUAUGCACGUCUUGACGGUACCUAAUCAGAAAGCCACGGCUAACUACGUG